This 255-nucleotide ribosomal RNA is filed under the name uncultured bacterium. RNAcentral describes it as "partial 16S ribosomal RNA". It matches the Rfam family "Bacterial small subunit ribosomal RNA", at positions 524 to 776 of the family's 1533-position model. The record is from RNAcentral.
CACGUAGGGCGCAAGCGUUGUCCGGAAUUAUUGGGCGUAAAGAGCUCGUAGGCGGUUUGUCGCGUCUGCCGUGAAAGUCCGGGGCUCAACUCCGGAUCUGCGGUGGGUACGGGGCAGACUAGAGUUCGGUAGGGGAGUCUGGAAUUCCUGGUGUAGCGGUGAAAUGCGCAGAUAUCAGGAGGAACACCGGUGGCGAAGGCGGGACUCUGGGCCGAUACUGACGCUGAGGAGCGAAAGCGUGGGGGAGCAAACAGG